This 253-nucleotide ribosomal RNA is filed under the name uncultured bacterium. RNAcentral describes it as "partial 16S ribosomal RNA". It matches the Rfam family "Bacterial small subunit ribosomal RNA", at positions 524 to 776 of the family's 1533-position model. The record is from RNAcentral.
UACGUAGGGUGCGAGCGUUGUCCGGAAUUAUUGGGCGUAAAGAGCUUGUAGGCGGUUUGUCGCGUCUGCUGUGAAAAUCCGGGGCUCAACCCCGGACUUGCAGUGGGUACGGGCAGACUAGAGUGUGGUAGGGGAGACUGGAAUUCCUGGUGUAGCGGUGGAAUGCGCAGAUAUCAGGAGGAACACCGAUGGCGAAGGCAGGUCUCUGGGCCACUACUGACGCUGAGGAGCGAAAGCGUGGGGAGCAAACAGG